AUCACCAUCUUUCGGCUGAGAUUGCAAGUUUUCACUUUUCUAUCUGUUUUUUGGGAUUGCCUACGGUAUCUGAUGUCCAAAGUUGAAAAAAUGUGUUUGGACAUUUCGUUUUUCUUAGGCAGAAAGUGAAAUCAGGCUUUGCGACACUGUUAGCUUCUUAUAACCAUAAGCUACCUGUUACUUUUAUACCUGUUUACAUCCUACUUAUCAACUUGGUUUUGUUUUGUUUUCCUGAGUCAGUCUUGUUUUAUAACUUGGUUUGGUUUUUGUCUCCCUAUGUCUGUUGUGUUUUAUAAUGUUACUGUUACGUUCGUACUUAUGCAGGUUAUGUUUCGCUUGCAUCUCUGGCGUGCAAGUGGAUUCUUAAGUCGAUAUCCUGGUUACUAAUUCGAUCUUCUUCAAUUGUUUGAAGAACACCUACUGUCAUUUAUUGAUUUGUAAUUGUAAUACCAAGUCUUUAUGACCCCAAAUAUAAAUAAAGAAAUUUCUCAUUUUUGUAUUUGAGUUGCUGCAUAAUCUCUUAGUAGCAAAAAAUUUAACCUCCGUAAUCGAACCAUGUAGUUUCGAUAACCAAAGC
This 577-nucleotide long non-coding RNA is filed under the name Capsella grandiflora. RNAcentral describes it as "long non-coding RNA (CGRA_LNC001097)". The record is from RNAcentral. Lineage: Eukaryota; Viridiplantae; Streptophyta; Magnoliopsida; Brassicales; Brassicaceae.